Molecule: ribosomal RNA, 681 nt
Filed under: Triticum aestivum (bread wheat)
Lineage: Eukaryota; Viridiplantae; Streptophyta; Magnoliopsida; Poales; Poaceae
Description: partial small subunit ribosomal RNA
Source: RNAcentral
AUGAUAUGUUGGAAACCAUGCCAAUUUCUUGAUCCUAGCAAGUCCUUUGGACUGGCAUUGAAGUGGAAAUGUGGAAUACACAGACAAAAAAAAGGAAAAGAAGUGGACCACGCAAGCUCACACAGGGUAACCGGCCCCAUUAUUUGGUCAAGGAUGACGGGGGAAAGUAUCCUAUACUCCAAUGGAUUGGGUGCUCCGGCUGCACCGUACGCAGCUCAUCCAUCAGAUACAGAAUACAAGGUUAGGAUGAAACCCGAACGCCCCGCUCUUAGAAUUUUGCCAAAAGGCGCCCCACAUAAGCACAAAAUAGCAGUAAUGCCCCCGUUACUUAGGUGUGCCACAGUUUGGAACAGAAAGAACAAAAAGCAUCAGGGGCCUGGCGGCGGAUCUCGCCGUGGGCUGCGCUGCCACACCGGUGGAACAAGCUCGCUGCAGUACGGACGUACUCUGCUCCGACGUCCAGCGGGAAACUCGCCCCACCUCUGCCCCGCCAUUAUCCACCUCGACGCAACCCCCUCCACAGCCACACACUCCUGCCUAGAUCCGCCAUCUACCGACGCCGGAGAAGAGAACUCCGAGCCUUCAGCAUGGAAGGAUGGAGUCAAUGGCAAGCAUUGCUUCAAGUGUCGGAUCAUCUACAAUGAAUGGGACCUGAAGAUGAUGCCAACAACUUUUCCAUGA